Salvia miltiorrhiza (redroot sage) is the source of this 121-nucleotide small nucleolar RNA. The record is from RefSeq and is a predicted model, not a curated record. NCBI's taxonomy places the organism in Eukaryota, Viridiplantae, Streptophyta, Magnoliopsida, Lamiales, Lamiaceae.
ACCAAUUCUUGGGGAUAAUCUGUUCCUCUAGUUGUAAUGGCACGGACGCAAUAACUAAUUGUGGCUAUCCUGAUCGGUGAGAUUUCAAUAUCACUAGAUCCCGGAAACACCUCGUAAAUUU